AACAAAUAAACAUAUGAAAGGGGGAAGGGAGGAGAAAGUAAUCAAUGAGACCUGUCCUAGUCUAAUUGGGCUUUCAACCUAUUUCACCUAUCCUAAUCUAGUAUUCGAGCCUUUGGCUCGAGUCUUGCUCCACUUAUAUUAAAUUUACAGCUUUGGCUUCGAGACCCAAAAGAAUGAAUAAAGAAAUAAAAGACGACAAUGAAUAUAUAAAUAAAUAAAAAGAUAAAAAGAAACUUUAUAGUCUCUUUGUUGGGACUUUAGCCCAUUCUUCUGCGUUCGACUCUUCAUAACCAUGCGCUAUGUGAUCAGCUUUCAAAGUCUUCUAGAAAGUAGGCCUCGAUGGCCCGUUGCGUAAUGCAAGGGAAAGGAGUCCGAUUGGACUCCCGAGCGAGUUCAUGCAAAGAAAAAGAUGAAUGUAUUAAUGCAUGAUCAACCAAAAAGGAAGGGAAACAAAAGAGAAUAACUUUAAAGGUUCAGAUAAUAUAUGAUAAACUAAUUUCAGUGAAGCACAGGCCAAUUCUCACACAUGACGCAAAUAGCACACGGGUUUAUUACCGAAUCCUAGCUGAAAUUAUAUGGAUAUUCAAAUAACACAGCUUCAAUAAAAGAUAGGCAAAUCGCAGCUAACAGGAGAAUUGAAGGUUCUUAGAAAUUCGUUGACAGACAAACCAGCUAAAGAGGGGUAAAUAAUCAAUGAUGGUAUAAACCUGCCACAAGAUCUACAAAUUCGUAUCGUGGGAUCUAAAACAAAAUAUAAAGAAAAAAAUCAAUGAUAGGAUAACUAAAUCUACUAUAUCAAUGGCACAAAAUCCGUCAUACAUCACUAACGAGACAAAAUCCAUUACUGGAUUUCCACGUAAUUUCAAAAAGGUGACCCAAGAUAAAGGACACAAGUUGAAUACAAAAUGUAUCCUUGAAGAGUCAUCGAAUGAUUUGAACUAAUAUGACAUCUCCCUUAUCCCUUCUUGACAUUAUUUGUCUAUAGGGAUUUUGGGAAUUUUUCCAGUUGACUUCGAAAGAUUCAAAACAAAUACAGGACAAAAUAAAAUCGAGGCGGACAACCCACAAUAUUGAACUAAGGCAACGAAUCAAAACUAAAAUAAACAAUAGUCGGCUAAACGAAUAGCAAAUUGGGCCAAAAUAAUCAAGUACAAAACGAUAUAAUGGAAAAUAAAAAUAAUCAAACGUUACAGUGAUUUUGAAGACAAAAUUGAAAUAAAAUUAUAAGGUUAAAGUAUUGAGGCCAAAACUAAAAUAAUAAACGAUAAAUUAAAGGGAAAUACUGGAUUUCAUCAAAACAAGGUGAUGACUAAAAUGAAAAUCUAAAAUCUUGCGGUGGAAAGCAUCAAAUAAUAUAGAACAAAAAUGAACUACACAAACAGCAAUCAACAGGCAAAGCAUUUAGGUUGAAACAAAUAGUGAAUUAAUCCUACAACCUUUGUUGACUCCUAUUAUAUAUAUUAAUAAACUACCCAACAACACUUAAUACGAAGCAGUGAAUUUAGGGCAAGUGAACCCAAAUAUAAAGCCAGCAGUGAAACACAGAUCAUAACACAGACAAUGAUUCAACAUAACAACCAUCACUGCCUUCUGAGGAUCCUACAACAAGCGAUUCUCAACAAACCACAAAAUGCUCAAACAAAUCCAACAGCUGACGUCUCUACAGCUACUCCCAGCACAGAAUUACAUCGAAAAAGUUAUUUAUAGCUAUAGAAGAUCAAGAUGAAGCAAAAAAGAUCAAAACUUGAACGAAAAAAGAUAUUACCUGUUAGGGAGCGGCAAAACGGGACUACGAGCUGACGUCGGAGUCCACCACCACCAGAAAGAUCGAUGCUGAUACGUGAAUUUUGACUAAACUGACUGCUACUUCCUAAAAUCUUUUCCGAAUAAAAGUUUCUCUUUCCCGAAACCCUUUUUUCUUGACCCAAAAGAAAUUUUUUCCAACCUAGCUUUUUUAGAAAUUUUUUUAACCCAAGAGCCAAAAUCUCCCUUUUCAGCCCAACGAAUGAGCUUUUUAUAGCCACAACAAAUGAGGGUUCUCAAAACCUCUUCCUCCAUGUGGGAACACAACCCUUUUUGGGGUAAUUUCAAAAUUUUCUCAAGGGGUAUUCAAAUUUCAAAACUCAAAACCAAAAUUCUCCCCAACAGAUCCUCCCAAAUGAACUAUUUUGAACAAAUCAAAAACCAAAAUCAGCCAAUGAGAAUUGGGGCUAAGAAAAAAUUCUCCAAGAACCAAUCAAAAUUCAACAGGUAUGUACGAACUCAUUCAAAAUACUCUGAGAUUUGCAGAAUUGAACGUUGGACGGACCAACUAAGCAGUCUUCUCGAAGCUUCUCGCCUUUUUUUUGCAUAAAUCCAUAUGGGAGGGUGCGUGACACAUGUAAGAGAUGGGUUGAGAUCGGGUCGGAUUCGUUGAAGUUGGAGAUGGGUCGGGUUUGAUUUUUUAACGUGGUGUCGUUGCUGAAUUAGGAUUUUGCCGUUGCUGGAACUAUUGUUGUUGCGUCGUGUUUGGAUGGUUGUUUUCGAACUGUUGCUAGUUAUCUAUUGUCGAUGUUGGGUUAAGGGAAGAGAAAACAGAAGUUGGACUGAGUCGGGUCGUGGAUAAGUAGGCUGGGGCGGUGAUAGGCUUUAGGGAUUGGUGUUGUUUAUUAUGAGUAAGGGAGAAAGGAUGCUAAAAUUGUUAUUAUUUUUGGGCUGAUUUGGCUAUUUUAAUGGAUUUGGCUAAUGUAUUUAAGUUUUCUCCAAUUGCUUCGCAAUUGUGGCCAAUUCGAUUUCAAAUAUGACCAAAUCUAAUAGAUUGGCUAAAUUGAAUUAAAAUUCAAAAUGAAUUAAUAUCUCAUUUAAUCUUUGAGUUUCUCAAUUUAAUAAAAUCAAAAAAAUAUAUAUCCGAA
RNAcentral lists this long non-coding RNA (2891 nucleotides) under Capsicum annuum. Its description in RNAcentral is "long non-coding RNA (CANN_LNC008925)". The record is from RNAcentral. Lineage: Eukaryota; Viridiplantae; Streptophyta; Magnoliopsida; Solanales; Solanaceae.